Molecule: ribosomal RNA, 524 nt
Filed under: uncultured bacterium
Lineage: Bacteria
Description: partial 16S ribosomal RNA
Rfam family: Bacterial small subunit ribosomal RNA
Source: RNAcentral
GACGAACGCUGGCGGCGUGCCUAAUACAUGCAAGUCGAACGCUUCUUUCCUCCCGAGUGCUUGCACUCGAUUGGAAAGAGGAGUGGCGGACGGGUGAGUAACACGUGGGUAACCUACCCAUCAGAGGGGGAUAACACUUGGAAACAGGUGCUAAUACCGCAUAACAGUUGAUGCCGCAUGGCCUAAGCGUGAAAGGCCCUUUCGGGUGUCGCCGAUGUAUGGACCCGCGGUUCAUUAGCUAGUUGGUGAGGUAACGGCUCACCAAGGCCACGAUGCAUAGCCGACCUGAGAGGGUGAUCGGCCACACUGGGACUGAGACACGGCACAGACUCCUACGGGAGGCAGCAGUAGGGAAUCUUCGGCAAUGGACGAAAGUCUGACCGAGCAACGCCGCGUGAGUGAAGAAGGUUUUCGGAUCGUAAAACUCUGUUGUUAGAGAAGAACAAGGACGUUAGUAACUGGACGUCCCCUGACGGUAUCUAACCAGAAAGCCACGGCUAACUACGUGCCAGCCGCCGCAGUAA